ACUCGAUUCCAUUAAUUCAUCUUGACAAAUAUUUCCUAAAAUAAAUAUCAGAAAAUAUUCUCUCUCUCUCUCGCUCUCUCUCUCUAUCGACACAACUUUUUCCCCAAAUCAAAAUUCCAAAUUUUUGUUUAUUUGUUAUUGCCGAUUACAGAUCUAGUACAAACUCGUUGAUCCCUUGAUUCAGUUCUCUGGUUGCUUCACUCAUCGGCGACUUCAGUUCUCCGGUAGCUUCACUCACCAGCGAUUUUAAACUCCGGUAGUUUUCUUCAACCGGCGACUUCAAUCUCCAGCUGCUCCACUCGCCGGCGACUUUAAUCUCCAACAACGUCACUCGCCGAAGACUUUAAUCUCCAGCAGCUUCAUUCAUUUGGUAUGGAAACAGAAUUUCUAAAACGCCUAUUUAGAGAUGGAUUUGAGCCACAAGUAAAAAAGAUAAACAAUUCCUAUCGAACUUCUAUCUUGAGCAAAGUCAAACAAGCAUUGCCUAUACAGUACGAGCUAGUGAAGAAAGAUCAUGUCUUUUCACAUGUGUUUGCACUCUACGAAGGGUUUAGGGUAUUCAGCGCGGUUGAUACACAAUAUGAUGUCUAGGCAAUUGGUUACAAAGAAAAAAAAAGAGAGAUAUGGUUUGUGUUUGGAGGGAAACAACUCAGAUUUUCAAUGCAAGAAUUUCAUGUUGUGGCUGUGCUCAAAUGCAUUGAUGAUUUUAGUUGUGAUUUAGAGAAUUGAAAAGACGAUGGUGGGUUUUGGAGCAAAUUGAUGAAGAGAAAAGGUACGACGAUUAGCAUUAAGAGCUUGGUAGAUGUGCACUUACCUUUAGUUCACACAUGGAAUGACGUAGAUAAAAUCCGCUUGGUGUAUAUUUUUGUGAUAGCUGGGUUGGUUAUGGCUAAGGAUGAGAAAAAGUAUAUUCCACUCAAAGACAUCCAGAUGGUAAUGGAUCUUGAUAAGGUGAUGACUUAUCCUUGGGGUCUUAAAGCUUUUAAAAUUCUAGUUAAGUCUAUCAUAGAAAGAAGAGAAGAUUUGAAGAAGAUCAACAGCUACGCAUUAGAUGGUUUCUCAUAUGCAUUUCAAAUAUGAGUUAUGGAGGCGAUUCCAGACAUUGGAAAGUUGUUGGGAGAAAAGAUUAUCAAAGAAUUUACAGAAGCUCCUCGAUGUUCUAAUUGGAAAGGUGCAACCAAAGUAUCAUAUGAUGAUAUCAUCCAAAUAGAAAGUACAUUUGGACCAAAGGAAUCCUCCUCCUCGACACCACUAUAGCCUCUUAGAAUUUACUUCCCCUCAAGUGAGUACAACAAGAAAAUCAAGUAUCGACGAGGUGUAAUAUCCAUGAGAUGAUGUUGGUACAAGACAUUGGUAAGAAGAAAAAGAAGGGUGUUAAACCGACUGCCGUGGAGGAAGACACCAAUAACCGUAGUAAAAGAGUCUUUACAAGGUCAUGGACAUGUAGAACUAAUUUUGUGGGUGUUUGGAUGUUCUUCUUAUUUCUAUUUGUAGAACUACUUGUAAAACUUUGUUGGAUUCAUAUUACUUUUUGGAAUUUA
Molecule: non-coding RNA, 1541 nt
Organism: Camelina sativa (false flax)
Lineage: Eukaryota; Viridiplantae; Streptophyta; Magnoliopsida; Brassicales; Brassicaceae
Source: RefSeq, a predicted model, not a curated record